UUUUGCUUGGUGCCACGUGCCAUCCGGCCCUCUCCAGCGGCCGGGUAGCCACCGGCCUGACCUGACUGUCCCCCAGCCCUCCUGGCUGCUCAGGUCCUGCCGCCGCCCCCGGCCGAACCCCGCCCCACUGAAACUCACGAGCCCUGCCCCGCCCCCAGGGCAUGGCCUAUCUGCACGCUCAGCACUACAUCCACCGAGACCUAGCCGCGCGCAACGUGCUGCUGGACAACGACAGGCUGGUCAAGAUCGGGGACUUUGGCCUAGCCAAGGCCGUGCCCGAAGGCCACGAGUACUACCGCGUGCGCGAGGAUGGGGACAGCCCCGUGUUCUGGUCUAUCAUCUCAUGAAGAACUGCUGGGAGACAGAGGCGUCCUUUCGCCCAAACUUCGAGAACCUCAUACCCAUUCUGAAGACAGUCCAUGAGAAGUACCAAGGCCAGGCCCCUUCAGUGUUUAGCGUGUGCUGAGGCACAAUGGCAGCCCUGCCUGGGAGGACUGGACCAGGCAGUGGCUGCAGAGGGAGCCUCCUGCUUCCUGCCCCAGGAUGAAACCAAGAGGGGGAUGUCAGCCUCACCCACACCGUGUGCCUUACUCCUGUCUGGAGACCCCACCUCUGUGAACUUAUUUUUCUUUCAUGGCCGUGAGCCUAACCAUGAUCUUGAGGGACCCAACAUUUGUAGGGGCACUAAUCCAGCCCUUAAAUCCCCCAGCUUCCAAACUUGAGGCCCACCAUCUCCACCAUCUGGUAAUAAACUCAUGUUUUCUCUG
This 767-nucleotide small RNA is filed under the name Pan troglodytes (chimpanzee). RNAcentral's name for it is "retained intron". The record is from RNAcentral. Lineage: Eukaryota; Metazoa; Chordata; Mammalia; Primates; Hominidae.